UUUGAUCCUGGCUCAGGACGAACGCUGGCGGCGUGCUUAACACAUGCAAGUCGAACGAUGAAGCCUUUCGGGGUGGAUUAGUGGCGAACGGGUGAGUAACACGUGGGCAAUCUGCCCUUCACUCUGGGACAAGCCCUGGAAACGGGGUCUAAUACCGGAUAACACUCUGUCCCGCAUGGGACGGGGUUAAAAGCUCCGGCGGUGAAGGAUGAGCCCGCGGCCUAUCAGCUUGUUGGUGGGGUGAUGGCCUACCAAGGCGACGACGGGUAGCCGGCCUGAGAGGGCGACCGGCCACACUGGGACUGAGACACGGCCCAGACUCCUACGGGAGGCAGCAGUGGGGAAUAUUGCACAAUGGGCGAAAGCCUGAUGCAGCGACGCCGCGUGAGGGAUGACGGCCUUCGGGUUGUAAACCUCUUUCAGCAGGAAGAAGCGAAA
Molecule: ribosomal RNA, 438 nt
Filed under: Streptomyces sp. 7BF12
Lineage: Bacteria; Bacillati; Actinomycetota; Actinomycetes; Kitasatosporales; Streptomycetaceae
Description: bacterial SSU rRNA
Rfam family: Bacterial small subunit ribosomal RNA
Source: RNAcentral